Long non-coding RNA from Oncorhynchus keta (chum salmon), 585 nucleotides. RefSeq lists it as uncharacterized. NCBI's taxonomy places the organism in Eukaryota, Metazoa, Chordata, Actinopteri, Salmoniformes, Salmonidae. The transcript is spliced from 4 exons. The record is from RefSeq and is a predicted model, not a curated record.
UAGUGGGGCAGGAGAAGGUCUUCCUGGGCAGGUCACAUGGUCAGGAGAAACUGUAGUGGGGCAGGAGGUCUUCCUGGGCAGGUCACAUGGUCAGGAGAAACUGUAGUGGGGCAGGAGGUCUUCCUGGGCAGGUCACAUGGUCAGGAGAAACUGUAGUGGAGCAGGAGGUCUUCCUGGGCAGGUCACAUGGUCAGGAGAAACUGUAGUGGGGCAGGAGAAUGUCUUCCUGGGCAGGUCACAUGGUCAGGAGAAACUGUAGUGGGGCAGGAGGUCUUCCUGGGCAGGUCACAUGGUCAGGAGAAACUGUAGUGGAGCAGGAGGUCUUCCUGGGCAGGUCACAUGGUCAGGAGAAACUGUAGUGGGGCAGGAGAAUGUCUUCCUGGGCAGGUCACAUGGUCAGGAGAAACUGUAGUGGGGCAGGAGGUCUUCCUGGGCAGGUCACAUGGUCAGGAGAAACUGUAGUGGAGCAGGAGGUCUUCCUGGGCAGGUCACAUGGUCAGGAGAAACUGUAGUGGGGCUUUGGAGCUUUUUCCCAGUAUGUUGUCUAAACUGUGAGGACCACAUAUGAUGCAGAAAAGCAUCAUG